AUUGAACGCUGGCGGCAGGCCUAACACAUGCAAGUCGAACGGUAACAGGAAGCAGCUUGCUGCUUUGCUGACGAGUGGCGGACGGGUGAGUAAUGUCUGGGAAACUGCCUGAUGGAGGGGGAUAACUACUGGAAACGGUAGCUAAUACCGCAUAACGUCGCAAGACCAAAGAGGGGGACCUUCGGGCCUCUUGCCAUCGGAUGUGCCCAGAUGGGAUUAGCUAGUAGGUGGGGUAACGGCUCACCUAGGCGACGAUCACUAGCUGGUCUGAGAGGAUGACCAGCCACACUGGAACUGAGACACGGUCCAGACUCCUACGGGAGGCAGCAGUGGGGAAUAUUGCACAAUGGGCGCAAGCCUGAUGCAGCCAUGCCGCGUGUAUGAAGAAGGCCUUCGGGUUGUAAAGUACUUUCAGCGGGGAGGAAGGGAGUAAAGUUAAUACCUUUGCUCAUUGACGUUACCCGCAGAAGAAGCACCGGCUAACUCCGUG
This 490-nucleotide ribosomal RNA is filed under the name uncultured bacterium. RNAcentral's name for it is "partial 16S ribosomal RNA". It matches the Rfam family "Bacterial small subunit ribosomal RNA", at positions 30 to 507 of the family's 1533-position model. The record is from RNAcentral.